RNAcentral lists this ribosomal RNA (253 nucleotides) under uncultured bacterium. Its description in RNAcentral is "partial 16S ribosomal RNA". It matches the Rfam family "Bacterial small subunit ribosomal RNA", at positions 524 to 776 of the family's 1533-position model. The record is from RNAcentral.
UACAGAGGGUGCAAGCGUUAAUCGGAAUUACUGGGCGUAAAGCGUGCGUAGACGGUCAUGUAAGUCGGGUGUGAAAGCCCCGGGCUCAACCUGGGAAUUGCAUUCGAGACUGCGUGGCUAGGGUGCGGAAGAGGGAAGCGGAAUUUCCGGUGUAGCGGUGAAAUGCGUAGAUAUGACAUAGAACACCGAUAGCGAAGGCAGCUUGCUACGCGAGUAUUGACACUGAGGCACGAAAGCGUGGGGAUCAAACAGG